GAUGAACGCUGGCGGCGUGCCUAAUACAUGCAAGUAGAACGCUGAAGGAAGGAGCUUGCUCUUUCCGGAUGAGUUGCGAACGGGUGAGUAACGCGUAGGUAACCUGCCUGGUAGCGGGGGAUAACUAUUGGAAACGAUAGCUAAUACCGCAUAACGGUAGAUGUUGCAUGAUAUCUACUUAAAAGGUGCAAUUGCACCACUACCAGAUGGACCUGCGUUGUAUUAGCUAGUUGGUGAGGUAACGGCUCACCAAGGCGACGAUACAUAGCCGACCUGAGAGGGUGAUCGGCCACACUGGGACUGAGACACGGCCCAGACUCCUACGGGAGGCAGCAGUAGGGAAUCUUCGGCAAUGGACGGAAGUCUGACCGAGCAACGCCGCGUGAGUGAAGAAGGUUUUCGGAUCGUAAAGCUCUGUUGUAAGAGAAGAACGAGUGUGAGAGUGGAAAGUUCACACUGUGACGGUAUCUUACCAGAAAGGGACGGCUAACUACGUG
RNAcentral lists this ribosomal RNA (497 nucleotides) under uncultured bacterium. RNAcentral's name for it is "partial 16S ribosomal RNA". It matches the Rfam family "Bacterial small subunit ribosomal RNA", at positions 28 to 507 of the family's 1533-position model. The record is from RNAcentral.